Molecule: ribosomal RNA, 497 nt
Filed under: uncultured bacterium
Lineage: Bacteria
Description: partial 16S ribosomal RNA
Rfam family: Bacterial small subunit ribosomal RNA
Source: RNAcentral
GAUGAACGCUGGCGGCGUGCCUAAUACAUGCAAGUCGAGCGAACGGACGAGAAGCUUGCUUCUCUGAUGUUAGCGGCGGACGGGUGAGUAACACGUGGAUAACCUACCUAUAAGACUGGGAUAACUUCGGGAAACCGGAGCUAAUACCGGAUAAUAUUUUGAACCGCAUGGUUCAAAAGUGAAAGACGGUCUUGCUGUCACUUAUAGAUGGAUCCGCGCUGCAUUGGCUAGUUGGUAAGGUAACGGCUUACCAAGGCAACGAUGCAUAGCCGACCUGAGAGGUUGAUCGGCCACACUGGAACUGAGACACGGUCCAGACUCCUACGGGAGGCAGCAGUAGGGAAUCUUCCGCAAUGGGCGAAAGCCUGACGGAGCAACGCCGCGUGAGUGAUGAAGGUCUUCGGAUCGUAAAACUCUGUUAUUAGGGAAGAACAUAUGUGUAAGUAACUGUGCACAUCUUGACGGUACCUAAUCAGAAAGCCACGGCUAACUACGUG